RNAcentral lists this ribosomal RNA (299 nucleotides) under uncultured bacterium. RNAcentral describes it as "partial 16S ribosomal RNA". It matches the Rfam family "Bacterial small subunit ribosomal RNA", at positions 32 to 309 of the family's 1533-position model. The record is from RNAcentral.
AAUCAACGCUGGCGGCGUGCCUCAGACAUGCAAGUCGAACGCGAAAUUUCCCUUCGGGGAGAAAGUAGAGUGGCGCACGGGUGAGUAACACGUGGGUAAUUUGCCUUCGGGUGGGGAAUAACGUCUCGAAAGAGACGCUAAUACCGCAUGAUGCAGCGGCACCACAUGGUGACAGUUGUUAAAGGCGGGGAGUCGCAAGACCUCGCGCCUGAAGAGAAGCCCGCGGCGGAUUAGCUAGUUGGUAAGGUAAUGGCUUACCAAGGCAACGAUCUGUAGUCGGCCUGAGAGGGCGGUCGGCC